RNAcentral lists this ribosomal RNA (253 nucleotides) under uncultured bacterium. Its description in RNAcentral is "partial 16S ribosomal RNA". It matches the Rfam family "Bacterial small subunit ribosomal RNA", at positions 524 to 776 of the family's 1533-position model. The record is from RNAcentral.
UACAGAGGGUGCAAGCGUUGUUCGGAAUUAUUGGGCGUAAAGCGCGUGUAGGCGGCUUUGCAAGUCGGGUGUGAAAGCCCUCAGCUUAACUGAGGAAGGGCGCUCGAAACUGCAGAGCUUGAGUACCGGAGAGGAUGGCGGAAUUCCCCAAGUAGAGGUGAAAUUCGUAGAUAUGGGGAGGAACACCGGUGGCGAAGGCGGCCAUCUGGACGAGUACUGACGCUGAGACGCGAAAGCGUGGGGAGCGAACAGG